AGUGAACGCUGGCGGUAGGCCUAACACAUGCAAGUCGAGCGGCAGCACAGUAAGAGCUUGCUCUUACGGGUGGCGAGUGGCGGACGGGUGAGGAAUACAUCGGAAUCUACUUUUUCGUGGGGGAUAACGUAGGGAAACUUACGCUAAUACCGCAUACGACCUACGGGUGAAAGCAGGGGAUCUUCGGACCUUGCGCGAUUGAAUGAGCCGAUGUCGGAUUAGCUAGUUGGCGGGGUAAAGGCCCACCAAGGCGACGAUCCGUAGCUGGUCUGAGAGGAUGAUCAGCCACACUGGAACUGAGACACGGUCCAGACUACUACGGGAGGCAGCAGUGGGGAAUAUUGGACAAUGGGCGCAAGCCUGAUCCAGCCAUACCGCGUGGGUGAAGAAGGCCUUCGGGUUGUAAAGCCCUUUUGUUGGGAAAGAAAAGCAGCAGGUUAAUACCCCGCUGUUCUGACGGUACCCAAAGAAUAAGCACCGGCUAACUUCGUG
This 492-nucleotide ribosomal RNA is filed under the name uncultured bacterium. Its description in RNAcentral is "partial 16S ribosomal RNA". It matches the Rfam family "Bacterial small subunit ribosomal RNA", at positions 29 to 507 of the family's 1533-position model. The record is from RNAcentral.